GUUUGCUGACACUGGGAGAGGGCGGAUGUGUCUACAAGGCUCUCCCUAAGGUCUUAUCAGAGACACACAGGCAGCCUCAGACUGUAGCCUGUCUGGAACCGCAGUGCCAGAAGACUCUUAACUCUCCACCUAAGACGGGAACUGAAGGGUUUUCCAUACCCCUUACGGUAAUCCAGAAGUAGCUCCUGGGAAUAAGUACGGAGAUUGAAAUGAAGCUAUUGCUACAAUUAUCUGAGGCACCAUCCAGUCAUCUGCAAUAUUUACAGUAUACUGCCCUCCUGUGGUUAUCAACUACAAUAAUCCUCCUCCUGCCAGGCAAUUCUAUAAAUGUAAAAAGUGUGUAUUACCUCAUGUCUUCUUAUCUGAAGGAAUAAUGUGUUGUCUAUAUAUCUCUCAUCAUCCUCUAGUCUAGAUAAUACAAAUAAAUGCGCACUGUCUACCAAA
Salvelinus fontinalis (brook trout) is the source of this 444-nucleotide long non-coding RNA. RefSeq lists it as uncharacterized. Lineage: Eukaryota; Metazoa; Chordata; Actinopteri; Salmoniformes; Salmonidae. The record is from RefSeq and is a predicted model, not a curated record. The transcript has 2 exons.